RNAcentral lists this ribosomal RNA (480 nucleotides) under uncultured bacterium. RNAcentral describes it as "partial 16S ribosomal RNA". It matches the Rfam family "Bacterial small subunit ribosomal RNA", at positions 28 to 507 of the family's 1533-position model. The record is from RNAcentral.
GACGAACGCUGGCGGCGCGCCUAACACAUGCAAGUCGAGCGAUGAAAUUUUAACCGAUCUCUUCGGAGAGAAGAUAAAAUGGAUUAGCGGCGGACGGGUGAGUAACACGUGAGAAACCUGCCUUUCACAAGGGGAUAGCCUCGGGAAACCGGGAUUAAUACCCUAUGACACAUUUCCUUCGCAUGGAAGAAAUGUUAAAACUCCGGUGGUGAAAGAUGGUCUCGCGCCUGAUUAGCUAGUUGGUGGGGUAACGGCCCACCAAGGCCAUGAUCAGUAACCGGGCUGAGAGGGUGAACGGUAACAUUGGAACUGAGACACGGUCCAAACUCCUACGGGAGGCAGCAGUGGGGAAUAUUGCACAAUGGAGGAAACUCUGAGGCAGCGACGCCGCGUGAGCGAUGAAGGCUUUCGAGUCGUAAAGCUCUGUCGUAUGGGAAGAUAAUGACGGUACCAUAGGAGGAAGCCCCGGCUAACUACGUG